AGCGAACGCUGGCGGCAGGCUUAACACAUGCAAGUCGAGCGGGCAUCCUUGUGGUGUCAGCGGCAGACGGGUGAGUAACGCGUGGGAACGUGCCCUUCGGUUCGGAAUAACUCAGGGAAACCUGAGCUAAUACCGGAUACGUGCGAGAGCAGAAAGGUUUAUCUGCCGAAGGAUCGGCCCGCGUCUGAUUAGCUAGUUGGUGAGGUUACGGCUCACCAAGGCGACGAUCAGUAGCUGGUCUGAGAGGAUGAUCAGCCACACUGGGACUGAGACACGGCCCAGACUCCUACGGGAGGCAGCAGUGGGGAAUAUUGGACAAUGGGGGCAACCCUGAUCCAGCCAUGCCGCGUGAGUGAUGACGGCCUUAGGGUUGUAAAGCUCUUUUCUCCGGGACGAUAAUGACGGUACCGGAGGAAUAAGCCCCGGCUAACUUCGUG
This 437-nucleotide ribosomal RNA is filed under the name uncultured bacterium. Its description in RNAcentral is "partial 16S ribosomal RNA". It matches the Rfam family "Bacterial small subunit ribosomal RNA", at positions 29 to 507 of the family's 1533-position model. The record is from RNAcentral.